GACAUGUGGAGCCAGAAGUACCUGGGGUUACGUUUCCCAGGGUGAGGGUUGGGGGCUUAGUCAAUAACUGCCUGGUGCUGGCGUGUGAAAACCAAGCUUCCUUGCCUCCAGUUGAAACAAACUGAGUUAUAAUUUAUACUUUGGAGCUCCCCUGAAGGAUCAUGCUGAAGCUGGGAGUUGGCUUGGAAUAGCAUCCUUGUUUGGCUUCUUCCCCUUCCCUGGCCUGCUUCUCACACUCCCUUCCUGGUUUCUCCAAGGAGCAUGAAAGACAGAAACUAAGACAGCAUUCAGGCUUUUGAAAUGAAGAUGUUGGGAUUCAAAAUUGGACAAUGUUGUCAGCAGGGAGACGCCUGGAAGCAGAAGAAUAUUUAUGGUGUGAAGUCUGAGAGGGCUAACAUGGGACUCAAUAACAAAUACCUGGAUGAGUGGCUUUGGAAGUAGAUACAGACUUGGUCCAAUGGGAACUUGAACGAGAGUAGACAGCUAUACAUGUGAUUAAAAUCAAGCUCAAGUCAGAGAAGAAGGGACGAUGCGUGAGCAGUAUCACCAUGAUGACGUGGGCGUUGACAAUACUUAUCAACAAUCCAGGUCUAUGCCCACUUGACCAAGUCUCAUAGAACUGGAUUUGGAACCAUAUUACCUUGAUCCCCUUCAGAGUUGUUCUUGGGUUACUGUGCAUAUAAUGAAGAGAAAAUGUUGGCUGAUAAGUUCGUCCUUGUUCAUGGUGAUUCUUAAUUCACAAUUUUCAACAAGGAGCUGGAAAACGAGCAAGGGAGUAAAAGCAGUGGAUGCUCGGAGACCACAGGGGACACCUAACUCCUUAGAGCUUCCAACUUCCCUCAGCCACUGGUGGAAUCCCCAUGCAGAAUUAGGAAGAUCAGAGAGGAGGAAGUAAGUGAAACUGUGUCAGUCCUUGGGCACAUCUGGCUCCAGCUGGCGGACUGAAUUUUUGUGUCUCUCCUUUAUUCCUUCCACUUAUGCCUCCUCCUAUGAGAUUUAGCUCCAGCUCACUCAUAUCCCAUUGCCUUGCUUUAUUUUCAUUGAAGCACUUUCUGAAAAUAUUGAAGUAUUUUUUACAGGUUUACAUGUUGUAAUGGGUUGAAUUGUGUCCCCCCCCGCAAAAGAUAUGUUCAAGUCUUAACCCCAGAUA
RNAcentral lists this long non-coding RNA (1150 nucleotides) under Equus asinus (donkey). RNAcentral's name for it is "lncRNA (ENSEASG00005024931.1)". Lineage: Eukaryota; Metazoa; Chordata; Mammalia; Perissodactyla; Equidae. The record is from RNAcentral.